Molecule: ribosomal RNA, 599 nt
Filed under: uncultured bacterium
Lineage: Bacteria
Description: bacterial SSU rRNA
Rfam family: Bacterial small subunit ribosomal RNA
Source: RNAcentral
AGAGUUUGAUCCUGGCUCAGAUUGAACGCUGGCGGAAUGCUUUACACAUGCAAGUCGAGCGGCAGCGCGGGGGCAACCCUGGCGGCGAGCGGCGAACGGGUGAGUAACAUAUCGGAACGUACCCAGUCAUGGGGGAUAACUAUCCGAAAGGAUAGCUAAUACCGCAUACGACCUGAGGGUGAAAGCGGGGGACCGAAAGGCCUCGCGCGAUUGGAGCGGCCGAUAUCGGAUUAGCUAGUUGAUGAGGUAAAGGCUCACCAAGGCGACGAUCCGUAGCUGGUCUGAGAGGACGACCAGCCACACUGGAACUGAGACACGGUCCAGACUCCUACGGGAGGCAGCAGUGGGGAAUUUUGGACAAUGGGGGCAACCCUGAUCCAGCCAUUCCGCGUGAGUGAAGAAGGCCUUCGGGUUGUAAAGCUCUUUCAGCAGGAACGAAACGGUGGUCCCUAAUACGGGCUACUAAUGACGGUACCUGAAGAAGAAGCACCGGCUAACUACGUGCCAGCAGCCGCGGUAAUACGUAGGGUGCGAGCGUUAAUCGGAAUUACUGGGCGUAAAGCGUGCGCAGGCGGUUAUAUAAGACAGAUGUGAAAUCC